AUUUCCCCCAAAUAUUUUUUGUCUCACUCCUUUUCAGCUGACCCUUUCUUCUCUCAUCUCCCCCUUCACCCGCAAACCAUGAAGGAAGAAGCUCAAAGGUUUGGUUCUAAGCAACAUCACCACGAAAAUCGGGAAUCGGAGGCACUCUUCAUCCUCUCUUCUACUGAACUACUAUAGAAGAAUUUGUGCUUUGCAUUUUGAGUGGGUCGAGUUUAUGACGAGAAGAUGGGGUUUUGGUGAUGCAGGGGUUUCUGGGUUGUUGGCUUAACCUUGAGGUGGAGGUGUGUUCAGAAAGGCAGGAGAGCUGUUGUUUGUGGUGUGGCUUCAAACAUCCAAUUCCACAGUUAUUGUUCAUGCUUGCAAACAUAGAUUGCUUUUACGUUCAAGGUUUCACAUGCUACUGUUGUAAGAAAUUGGUCUGCAGGGUCUGAAGAGAAGGAGAAGGUUGAAUAUGUAAAUCAAGAUUAGGUCGCAUUUGAGGUGUUGUCAAUUGUGAAGCUGCUGCUGACAUUCCAAUCAUCUUUCUUAGAUAUGUCCAAUUACGACAUGGAUUUCCAGUUGGAUGAUGAUGCCUUACCAUCGAUGCAUGACAGCGUCCAAUUUGAUGAUAGUGAAACCCAAGAUGUUGGCCUUCUGUUUGUGCAUGAGCCAAUAGUUCGUACUAAAAACAGACUUGCGAUUGCAGCAGUCCAACCACAAUGCAAUAGACCUGCGAUUCCAACCGCACCUAUCAAGGAUGUCUAUCGACCCGAAAUGCCUCAAACUGUGCCACAAUCGCAGCUGAACUGAAAGGGGUAGUUUCACCUACCAUUAUCUAGUUUGAUGGUUAUGUUUUUGCCUACUUUGAGUUAGUUCUCAAAGUAUUUUGUUGAAAAUUAUUCUUAGACAAGGAUUAUGUUGUUAAAGGGGGAAAAUCUUAGUGAUAUUCCACCUUAAACAACAAUGUAUUCUAGAAAACCUUCAUAUGAAAUGUACUUUGCUAGAAAUGUAAAGAACAUCUUGCUAUGAAUGUAAAGUUUUAAUAUUUUCGAUUCA
Long non-coding RNA from Rosa rugosa (rugosa rose), 1035 nucleotides. RefSeq lists it as uncharacterized. The record is from RefSeq and is a predicted model, not a curated record. The transcript is spliced from 6 exons. NCBI's taxonomy places the organism in Eukaryota, Viridiplantae, Streptophyta, Magnoliopsida, Rosales, Rosaceae.